RNAcentral lists this ribosomal RNA (1543 nucleotides) under uncultured bacterium. Its description in RNAcentral is "bacterial SSU rRNA". It matches the Rfam family "Bacterial small subunit ribosomal RNA". The record is from RNAcentral.
GGACGAACGCUGGCGGCGUGCAUAACGCAUGCAAGUCGAGCGGGGAUGGUAGCUGAAGGUGAUGAGCUGGAAGCUGCCAUCUUAGCGGCGGACGGGUGAGUAACACGUGAGCAACCUACCCUCAGCACGGGGAUAACAGCUCGAAAGGGCUGCUAAUACCCGAUGGGACCACGUCAUUGCAUGGUGAUGUGGUGAAAGGGUGGACGUAAGGUCCAUACCGGCUGGGGAUGGGCUCGCGGCCCAUCAGCUAGUUGGUGGGGUAACGGCCUACCAAGGCGACGACGGGUAGCCGGCCUGAGAGGGUGACCGGCCACAGUGGGACUGAGACACGGCCCACACUCCUACGGGAGGCAGCAGCGGGGAAUCUUGCGCAAUGGGCGGAAGCCUGACGCAGCGACGCCGCGUGAGGGAAGGAGCCCUUCGGGGUGUAAACCUCUUUGGACGGGGAGAAGUAGGAGAUAGUACCCGUUUAAAAAGCCACGGCUAACUACGUGCCAGCAGCCCGCGGUAAUACGUAGGUGGCGAGCGUUGUCCGGAAUUACUGGGCGUAAAGGGUGCGUAGGCGGCCUGGUAAGUUGAGCGUGAAAUUUUUGGGCUCAACCCAAAAGGAGCGUUCAAGACUGCCAGGCUUGAGUGCGGGAGAGGACGGCGGAAUUCCCGGCGUAGCGGUGAAAUGCGUAGAUAUCGGGAGGAACACCAGUGGCGAAGGCGGCCGUCUGGACCGUAACUGACGCUGAGGCACGAAAGCGUGGGGAGCAAACAGGAUUAGAUACCCUGGUAGUCCACGCUGUAAACGAUGGAUGCUAGGUGUGGGGGAGAAAGUACUUCUUCCGGUGCCCGUUAGGUUUACCACAAAUAAAGCCAUUCCCGCCCUGGGGAGUACCGGCCCGCCAAGGGUUGAAAACUUCAAAAGGGAAUUGACCGGGGGGCCCGCACCAAAGGCGGUGUGGAGGCAUUGGUGGGUUUUAUUUCGAAAGCAAACGGCGAAAGAAACCCUAACCCAGGGGCUUUGAACAUGCCCGGGGGACCCUGGCCCGAAAAGGGGUGGGGGUGGCCCUGACCCGAUGAAGGGUUUAGGGAACCCCGAAACACAGGUUGGUUGCAUGGGUUGGUCGUCAGCUCGUGUCGUGGAGGAUGUUUGGGGUUAAGUCCCCGCCAACGAGCGCAAACCCCCUGCCCCUUAGUUGCCCAGCGGGCAGGAGCCCGGGCACUUUUAAGGGGGACUGCCCGCCGGAUGAGGGCGGAAGAAAGGGUGGGGAAGGACGCCAAAUUCAUCCAUGCCCCCUUAUGCCCCUGGGGCUACCCCACGUGCUACCAAUGGGGUGCUCCGGAGGCCAGCGAAAGGCGCGGAGCCGGAAGCGAAUCCCCAAAAAACCCCCCCCCAUUUCGGAUUGCGGGCUGCAACUCGCCUGCAGAAUUGGAAUCGUAGUAUCGCGGAUCAGCUGCCGCGGUAAUAGUUCCGGCCUGUACCACCGCCCGUCACCCUAGAUUCGCACGCCUAAGACCCGGGCUUCUGUGUUAAAGGUGGGCUAUGAUUGAGUAA